This 403-nucleotide ribosomal RNA is filed under the name uncultured bacterium. Its description in RNAcentral is "partial 16S ribosomal RNA". It matches the Rfam family "Bacterial small subunit ribosomal RNA", at positions 28 to 526 of the family's 1533-position model. The record is from RNAcentral.
GACGAACGCUGGCGGCGUGCCUAAUACAUGCAAGUCGAACGCAGUGGGGACGGGUGAGUAACACGUGGGUGACCUCCCGUCAGACGGGAUAACACUUGGAUACUGGUGCUAAACCGAUACUGAUGUAUGUACCCGCGGUGCAUUAGCUAGUUGGAGGGGUAACGGCUCACCAAGGCCACGAUGCAUAGCCGACCUGAGAGGGUGAUCGGCCACACUGGGACUGAGACACGGCCCAGACUCCUACGGGAGGCAGCAGUAGGGAAUAUUCGGCAAUGGACGAAAGUCUGACCGAGCAAUGCCGCGUGAGUGAAGAAGGUUUUCGGAUCGUAAAACUCUGUUGUCAGAGAAGCGGUAUCUAACCAGAAAGCAACGGCUAACUACGUGCCAGCAGCCGCGGUAAUAC